AACGAACGCUGGCGGCAGGCUUAACACAUGCAAGUCGAACGCAUCCUUCGGGGUGAGUGGCAGACGGGUGAGUAACGCGUGGGAACGUGCCCUUCAGUUCGGAAUAACCCAGGGAAACUUGGGCUAAUACCGGAUACGUGCGAGAGCAGAAAGAUUUAUCGCUGAAGGAUCAGCCCGCGUCCGCUUAGCUAGUUGGUGGGGUAAUGGCCCACCAAGGCGACGAUCAGUAGCUCGUCUGGGAGGAUGAUCAGCCAAAUUGGGACUGAGACACGGCCCAAACUCCUACGGGAGGCAGCAGUGGGGAAUAUUGGACCAUGGGCGAAAGCCUGAUCCAGCCAUGCCGCGUGAGUGAUGACGGCCUUAGGGUUGUAAAGCUCUUUCGUCCGGGACGAUAAUGACGGUACCGGAAGAAGAAGCCCCGGCUAACUUCGUGCCAGCCGCCGCCGUAA
This 449-nucleotide ribosomal RNA is filed under the name uncultured bacterium. RNAcentral describes it as "partial 16S ribosomal RNA". It matches the Rfam family "Bacterial small subunit ribosomal RNA", at positions 29 to 523 of the family's 1533-position model. The record is from RNAcentral.